GAGGAAUAUUGGUCAAUGGGCGCGAGCCUGAACCAGCCAAGUAGCGUGAAGGAUGACUGCCCUAUGGGUUGUAAACUUCUUUUAUAAGGGAAUAAAGUGAGGCACGUGUGCCUUAUUGUAUGUACCUUAGGAAUAAGCAUCGGCUAACUCCGUGCCAGCAGCCGCGGUAAUACGGAGGAUGCAAGCGUUAUCCGGAUUUAUUGGGUUUAAAGGGAGCGUAGGCGGACUAUUAAGUCAGCUGUGAAAGUUUACGGCUCAACCGUGAAAUUGCAGUUGAAACUGGUCGUCUAGAGAGCAGUAAAGAUAGGCGGAAUUCGUGGUGUAGCGGUGACAUACUUAGAUAUCACGACGAACUCCAAUUGCGAAGGCAAAUCACUGGAGUGUAACUGACGCUGAUGCUAGAAAGAGUGGGUAUAAAAAA
RNAcentral lists this ribosomal RNA (421 nucleotides) under uncultured Bacteroides sp. RNAcentral's name for it is "bacterial SSU rRNA". It matches the Rfam family "Bacterial small subunit ribosomal RNA", at positions 356 to 774 of the family's 1533-position model. Lineage: Bacteria; Pseudomonadati; Bacteroidota; Bacteroidia; Bacteroidales; Bacteroidaceae. The record is from RNAcentral.